GAUGAACGCUAGCGGCAGGCCUAAUACAUGCAAGUCGAGGGGUAGAAGAGGCUUGCUUCUUUGAGACCGGCGCACGGGUGCGUAACGCGUAUGCAACCUACCUUCAUCUGGGGGAUAGCCCGGAGAAAUCCGGAUUAAUACCGCAUAAAAUCACAGGAUGGCAUUAUCCAAUGAUCAAACAUGUAUGGGAUGGAGAUGGGCAUGCGUGUCAGUAGCUAGUUGGCGGGGUAACGGCCAACCAAGGCGACGAUGACUAGGGGAUCUGAGAGGAUGGCCCCCCACACUGGUACUGAGACACGGACCAGACUCCUCCGGGAGGCAGCAGUAAGGAAUAUUGGGCAAUGGAGGCAACUCUGAACCAGCCAUGCCGCGUGCAGGAAGACUGCCCUAUGGGUUGUAAACUGUUUUUAUUCGGGAAUAAACCCUAUUACGUGUAAUAAGCUGAAUGUACCGAAGGAAUAAGGAUCGGCUAACUCCGUGCCAGCAGCCGCCGUAA
RNAcentral lists this ribosomal RNA (496 nucleotides) under uncultured bacterium. Its description in RNAcentral is "partial 16S ribosomal RNA". It matches the Rfam family "Bacterial small subunit ribosomal RNA", at positions 28 to 523 of the family's 1533-position model. The record is from RNAcentral.